GCAGUUGUGCAAGAUAGAUUCAAAAGGCAAAGCAAGAAAGGUUGUUGGAUGCUCAUGCCUUGUUGUGAAGGAUUAUAGAGAGGAAAGUGAAGGUCUACAAAUUGUCCAGGAGUAUGUCAAGUCUCACUAGAUAUGUAACAAGUGAUCAAAGUAUUUCAUGUGUGACUGUUUAUCAACUCUUUUUACUUGGAUGAACAUUUCUUGUAGCAAAUUUUGGAUCAUUAAAACGAAUUCUCUCUUUAUAUUUUA
This is a long non-coding RNA of Helianthus annuus (common sunflower), 249 nucleotides long. RefSeq lists it as uncharacterized. NCBI's taxonomy places the organism in Eukaryota, Viridiplantae, Streptophyta, Magnoliopsida, Asterales, Asteraceae. The transcript is spliced from 2 exons. The record is from RefSeq and is a predicted model, not a curated record.